RNAcentral lists this ribosomal RNA (427 nucleotides) under uncultured bacterium. RNAcentral's name for it is "partial 16S ribosomal RNA". It matches the Rfam family "Bacterial small subunit ribosomal RNA", at positions 355 to 774 of the family's 1533-position model. The record is from RNAcentral.
UGGGGAAUAUUGGACAAUGGGGGCAACCCUGAUCCAGCCAUGCCGCGUGUGUGAAGAAGGCCUUUUGGUUGUAAAGCACUUUAAGCAGGGAAGAAGACUCCAUGGUUAAUACCCAUGGGCGAUGACAUUAGCUGCAGAAUAAGCACCGGCUAACUCUGUGCCAGCAGCCGCGGUAAUACAGAGGGUGCAAGCGUUAAUCGGAAUUACUGGGCGUAAAGCGAGCGUAGGUGGCUUGAUAAGUCAGAUGUGAAAGCCCCGGGCUUAACCUGGGAACGGCAUCUGAUACUGUUAGGCUAGAGUAGGUGAGAGGAAGGUAGAAUUCCAGGUGUAGCGGUGAAAUGCGUAGAGAUCUGGAGGAAUACCGAUGGCGAAGGCAGCCUUCUGGCAUCAUACUGACACUGAGGUUCGAAAGCGUGGGUAGCAAACA